Poecile atricapillus (Black-capped chickadee) is the source of this 551-nucleotide long non-coding RNA. RefSeq lists it as uncharacterized. The transcript is spliced from 3 exons. The record is from RefSeq and is a predicted model, not a curated record. Lineage: Eukaryota; Metazoa; Chordata; Aves; Passeriformes; Paridae.
AACAUUUUAAACCUCAGAAAAAAAGUUUUUACAUUAACUAGAACUUGCAUAAAGCUUCCUUAACAAAUUCUGAAAUAUUGAUGAAACUCUAAAGUAGACUCUUUUACCCUGGAAACUGGCAGCAUGGCUUGAGUUGCCAAUAAACAGUACACAGGACAUGCUGGUCAGUGUCAGUUUCUAAAAAUGGGUGCAGAAGAAAAUGACAGCUGUUGGAGGGCAGGCAGGAACAGAGGAACACACCAAUACAGAAGCUCAGCCCCAGUGAUCUCUCAAUAGGAACUGUGGGCCUUGAAGUGAAGUGAGAAUUAACCAGAUAAGCUGUAUCCAGAACUGAAUCUAAAGUGUACAGGAAAGGAUUCUGAGCGCAGCUCAGCAGAUUAUUUCACCAAAAGCAAAAAAAGAUGAGAAGCACACAAGUUGGAGCCUGUGUUGACAGAGGAAAGGGAAAAUAAGAGACAGAAGGCAACAGCAGUUUCUACUAAACAGGCUACCACGGUCUUCGUCUUUUAUGUUCACAUAAAGCUAUAAUAAUUUGGCUUUUGAUUUAUGGU